CGUUGUCAUCCAGACGUUGGGCUCCCUGGGCCUAAGUGCCAACCUUGAAGUGCCCCGGUGCCUAUUUAUAAAGGCAAACGUGAUUAAACGUGAAGGGUCCCAGCAGCCACCAUGGAGGGACUGUGAGAGAAAGCCUUCCUGUCUGCUGGGUGGAGUGAGCAAGGAAGCCGGUCCACAAAAGAGCUCAGCAGCACAGUGCGUGGAGCGUGGAGGGCUUCAGUUACCAUCUGUGGAAAGGAUGCAGGAAGGAGCCAAGCCCCUGCCAGAUUUGGCCAGUGGUAGAGGCCAUAACUGGCACGCUGCUGGAGGGCUCUGUGGGGGCCACUGCUCGUGCCCCUGUGUUCCUGCCUGCACUGCUCAGUCCCAGUGAGCAAAUAAAUGCACCCUCCUAUCUCUCUCCCUUCGUCA
Molecule: long non-coding RNA, 408 nt
Filed under: Urocitellus parryii (Arctic ground squirrel)
Lineage: Eukaryota; Metazoa; Chordata; Mammalia; Rodentia; Sciuridae
Description: lncRNA (ENSUPAG00010020972.1)
Source: RNAcentral